Molecule: ribosomal RNA, 451 nt
Filed under: uncultured bacterium
Lineage: Bacteria
Description: partial 16S ribosomal RNA
Rfam family: Bacterial small subunit ribosomal RNA
Source: RNAcentral
AACGAACGCUGGCGGCAGGCUUAACACAUGCAAGUCGAACGGGUGUAGCAAUACAUCAGUGGCGCACGGGUGCGUAACGCGUGGGAAUAUGCCCUUUGGUACGGAACAACCUCGGGAAACUGAGGCUAAUACCGUAUAAUAUCUGCGGCUCAAAGAUUUAUCGCGAAAGGAUUAGCCCGCGUUGGAUUAGGUAGUUGGGGAGGUAACGGCUCACCAAACCGACGAUCCAUAGCUGGGCUGAGAGGAUGAUCAGCCACACUGGGAAUGAGACACGGCCCAGACUCCUACGGGAGGCAGCAGUGAGGAAUAUUGGAAAAUGGAGGAAACUCUGAUCCAGCCAUGCCGCGUGAGUGAUGAAGGCCUUCGGGUUGUAAAGCUCUUUUACCCCUGACGAUAAUGACGGUAAGGGGAGAAAAAGCCACGGCUAACUUCGUGCCAGCCGCCGCGGUAA